AUUGAACGCUGGCGGCAUGCUUUACACAUGCAAGUCGAACGGCAGCGCGGGGCAACCUGGCGGCGAGUGGCGAACGGGUGAGUAAUAUAUCGGAACGUACCCAAGAGUGGGGGAUAACGUAGCGAAAGUUACGCUAAUACCGCAUACGAUCUAUGGAUGAAAGCAGGGGACCUUCGGGCCUUGUGCUCCUGGAGCGGCCGAUAUCUGAUUAGCUAGUUGGUGAGGUAAAGGCUCACCAAGGCAACGAUCAGUAGCUGGUCUGAGAGGACGACCAGCCACACUGGAACUGAGACACGGUCCAGACUCCUACGGGAGGCAGCAGUGGGGAAUUUUGGACAAUGGGCGCAAGCCUGAUCCAGCAAUGCCGCGUGAGUGAAGAAGGCCUUCGGGUUGUAAAGCUCUUUUGUCAGGGAAGAAACGGUUGGGGCUAAUAUCCCCGGCUAAUGACGGUACCUGAAGAAUAAGCACCGGCUAACUACGUGCCAGCAGCCGCCGCGG
This 498-nucleotide ribosomal RNA is filed under the name uncultured bacterium. RNAcentral describes it as "partial 16S ribosomal RNA". It matches the Rfam family "Bacterial small subunit ribosomal RNA", at positions 30 to 523 of the family's 1533-position model. The record is from RNAcentral.